This is a long non-coding RNA of Homo sapiens (human), 7738 nucleotides long. RefSeq lists it as uncharacterized. NCBI's taxonomy places the organism in Eukaryota, Metazoa, Chordata, Mammalia, Primates, Hominidae. The record is from RefSeq and is a predicted model, not a curated record. The transcript has 5 exons.
CUUGACCUCAUGAUAUGCCCGCCUCAGCCUCCCAAAGUGCUGGGAUUAUAGGCAUGAGCCACCAUGCCCAGCCCCUUUUUAUAAGGUUCAUCCCAUUAUUGAUAUUCUCUAAUUGGUGAGACAUUGUUCCCACACUUUCGUUAGUUCUUUUGACAUGGUUCUUUUCUUUUUCUUGGGAGAGGGUCUCUCUGUCGCCCAAGCUGGAGUGCAGUGAUGCAGUCAUGGCUCACUGCAGCCUCAACUUCCUGGGCUGAAGUGAUCCUCCUACCUCAGCAUCCUGAGAGGCUGGGACCAUAGGCAGCCAGCUAAUUUUUUAAAUUUUUUGUAGAGAUGGGGGUCUCACCACAUUUCCCAAGCUGCUCUCAAACUCCUGGGCUCAAGCAAUCCACGGGCCUCAGCUUCCCAGAGUGCUAGGAUUAUAGGUGUGAGCCACUGCACCAGGCCUACACGUGGUUUCUCCCUUUGAAGUACUAGCCAGGCCUGACCAUGCUUAGCUUCCGAGAUCAGCAGGUUCCAGCCGGUGCAGCCUCAGAUGCAGCAUGUUUUAGGUCUUUGAACAUAUUUAAAUGAGCUGACUGAACGUCUUUGUCUAGCAAUUGCAGCAUCGGGCUGGUCCCAUUGGUGACUUUUCCCGUGUCUGGGUCGUCCUUUCGGUUUCCUUUCCAUGUCUCAUAAUUUGUUAAAACCUGGACAUUUCACGGGCGAUAAUGUGGCAACUCCGGAAGUCAGAUUCUCUUCCCUGCCAAGGAUGUGUUGUUGUUGUUGCCUGUUGGAGCUGUUUCUUUGCUGGGUGACUUUUCUGAACUAAUUCUGACUAAGCAUUAAUGUCUCCAUUCCCUGCGAGCUGUGGCCACUGAAGCCGCUCUUCAGUUACGGCAGUGGUCAGCUAAUGACUGGUCAGAGAGUUCCUUAGGUGCCUGGAAGCGAAGUCUUUGCCGAGUGGGUCUCUCUCUGUGUGCCGGGCGUGGCUUCAGUGCUCGGCUAGGCAGUGCUCAACUUUCCCUUAGCCGUCACCUGCUGUCUGCACAGCACCUCAGGUCACGACCCCCAGGAGACCUGGAGGACUGAAUGCUGCUGCCCCCAAGGAGGAGGCUGCCGUCUUAUCCCAGGAGGGAGAGCAGGUGAAGUCCCCAGGGGAGGAAGCACCUAGCCCCAUUCCUGCUGAGCAGGAGGUGGCAGGUACCCCAGACUGGGAGGUAAGGACAGCCCGGGGCUUCGACUGAACGUCUCCAGCGUGGGUCCAACUGAGCAGCCAUGGAGCACUGCAGAGUGGGAGGCAGCAGGGCAGGGAGGCAGUGCUGGAGGCUGGCUCAACCCCAAGACCAGCAGGCCAAGCUGCCAUCCCAGGGGAGCGAGGACGUCUGUGCAGAGCUGAGAGGCAGCAGCCAUGUGUGAACAGACUGGGCCUCAUCCUGGCCCCACCGACUUUGUGUGGACAGAGCCUGUUUCCCUGUCUGUGCAACACAGAACCUGCCUGAUCUCACUGCUGGAUCCCUCUUCUUCCUGCCAGGAAAAUAAAAAGGUUCAAAAGGAAGUUGCUGCGUAUCCAUCUGAGGCCUCUGAGGACAGCAAAGAGCAAAGGCCCUGGGACCGGGUCUACGUGCCCAUGACAGAGCUCUGGCUGGACUGGUUCUGAGCCUCUAACACCCCCAAGACUCAGAACCGUGAAGAAAAUCUUUCCAAUAAAUCCAAGAGUUGCUGCUGCUAUAGGCCAGGCUGCCACCUUUCGGGGCCUCCGUCUUCAGACAAACCCAGCCUGGCUUCAUCCACACUCCCUGUCCCCACAGCUGCAGGAACAGCACUUCCUGCCACCGAGCCGUGUGACCACAGUGGAUUGUCUCUGGAGGGGCCCAAGGGGGCCCUGGCCACCCUUCUGACUGACUCGGUGCCAGGGGACAGACCAACGUCCCUCUCGUGCUGACAGCCGGGCCGCACCCUGGCAUGAGGGCAUUUACAGAAAUGCUGGCGGAACUGCUGCCAGGGAGGCUGUAGGGUCCUCUGGCAAAAGAGGCCUCAGGUGGCUCCUCAGAGUGUCUGUGGUUCUCUGUCCCAGGCUGUUCCCUAAGAAGGUCUGCCCAGGACUCAGACGGAGAUUUCCUCUUGUUGCCCAGGCUGGUGGCUCCCCUCCAUUGUGCAAUGAUGCAAUCUCGGCUCACUACAACCUUCACCUCUAGGCUUCAAGCAAUUCUCCUGCCUCAGCCUCCUAAGUAGCUGGGAUUACAGGUGUGUGCCACCACGUCUAGCUUUUUAUAUUUUCAGUAGAGAUAGGGUUUCACCAUGUUGGCCAGGCUAGUCUUGAACUCCUGACUUCAGGUGAUCCACCCACCUCAGGCUCCCAAAGUGCUGGGAUUAUAGGCAUGAGCCACCGCACCCAAUCCCAGCUAAUUUUGUAUUUUUUGUAGAGACCGGGUUCUUCCAAGUUGUCCAGGCUGGUCUUGAAUUCCUGGGGUGAAGCGAUCCUCCCACCUGGGCCUCCCAAAGUGCUGGGAUUACAGGCCUGAGCCACUGUGACUACCUGAUACGUCUCUUCUCUCUUGCUGCUUUCAAAAUCCUGUCUUUUGUGGGAGGGCAGCUGCCGAGCUCUGGACUUCUACGGGAUCAUCCACUGAGGACAGGAGGACCGGGCCCUCUACAGGUGGAUUGUAUGGCAGCUGCCAUGCUUGGAGCCAGUGCUCACCGAGCACGUGGCGGCUGUGGAGCUGGACGCGGGGUUGAUAAGUCCGCUGGGGGUGACGGGCUCAUCCAUGAGUGGUACUUGAUGUGGCUGCAGAAGGCGGAUGUGGUGGUGGCAGAAGUGACACAACUGUCCCUGGGUAUAGGCUAUGAUCUGUGCCAGGCCACAGCCCUCAAUAAGUGAAUCCUGUGCCUGCUCCAGCAGCAGUCCGGUGGAGUGCUGUCGGCCAUGAUCUGGGAAGAGGCAGAUGGCUCUGGGUUCCAGGUGUGGGACUACGGAGAGGGACAGGUGGAGGCCCUGCUGCAUGGAUAGGUUGAGGCUGAUCCUUCCGAGCAGGUUGCCUCCCCUAACCCAACCAUUGGACCUAAUCCCAUUUUAUUAAAUUCUUCUCAUCCCAGACACUGCUCUAGUACCAGUCCUGGCUCUUUGCCCCAGGAGCAAAUUAAAAGGUACAUUUAAAAUUCUAAAAAAAGAAAAAUCUGUCUUUUGACAGUGAUUAUGAUGAUGCGUAUGGCUGAAGAUCUCUUUGAGUUUACCCUACUUGGAGUUUGAUGAGCUUUUUGGAUGUACGGAUUAAUAUUUUUCAUCAGAUUUGGGAGGUUUUUCAGCCAUUAAUUCUUCAACUAUUCCUUUACUCCUUUCUCCCUGUCUUCUUUCCUGGGACUCCCAUUGUGUGUAUGUCGGAAAGCUUGACGGCGUCUCCAGGUCUCUGGAUCUCUGUGCAUUGCUCUUCAUGCUUGUUCCUGUUCCUCAGAGGGGACUACCUCAGGUGGCCUCUCUCCAUAGUCACAGGCUCUUUCUUCCAAUUGUUCCAAUCUGCUCUUGGGCCCCUGGGAUGAAUUUUCAUUUAUUUUACCCUACAACUCCAGAAUUUUUAUUUGGUUCCUUUUUAAACUUUUUUUUUGUUUUUUGUUUUGUUUUGUUUUUUGGAGUAUCGCUCUGUCACCCAGGCUGUAGUGCAGUGGUGCAAUCUCGGCUCACUGCAAUCUCUGCCUCUCGGGUUCAAGCGAUUCUCCUGCCUCAGCCUCCCGAGUAGCUGGGAUUACAGGCACGUGCCACCACGCCCGGCUAAUUUUUGUAUUUUAAGUAGAGACGGGGUUUCACCAUGUUGGCCAGGCUGGUCUCAAUCUCUUGACCUCAUGAUAUGCCCGCCUCAGCCUCCCAAAGUGCUGGGAUUAUAGGCAUGAGCCACCAUGCCCAGCCCCUUUUUAUAAGGUUCAUCCCAUUAUUGAUAUUCUCUAAUUGGUGAGACAUUGUUCCCACACUUUCGUUAGUUCUUUUGACAUGGUUCUUUUCUUUUUCUUGGGAGAGGGUCUCUCUGUCGCCCAAGCUGGAGUGCAGUGAUGCAGUCAUGGCUCACUGCAGCCUCAACUUCCUGGGCUGAAGUGAUCCUCCUACCUCAGCAUCCUGAGAGGCUGGGACCAUAGGCAGCCAGCUAAUUUUUUAAAUUUUUUGUAGAGAUGGGGGUCUCACCACAUUUCCCAAGCUGCUCUCAAACUCCUGGGCUCAAGCAAUCCACGGGCCUCAGCUUCCCAGAGUGCUAGGAUUAUAGGUGUGAGCCACUGCACCAGGCCUACACGUGGUUUCUCCCUUUGAAGUACUAGCCAGGCCUGACCAUGCUUAGCUUCCGAGAUCAGCAGGUUCCAGCCGGUGCAGCCUCAGAUGCAGCAUGUUUUAGGUCUUUGAACAUAUUUAAAUGAGCUGACUGAACGUCUUUGUCUAGCAAUUGCAGCAUCGGGCUGGUCCCAUUGGUGACUUUUCCCGUGUCUGGGUCGUCCUUUCGGUUUCCUUUCCAUGUCUCAUAAUUUGUUAAAACCUGGACAUUUCACGGGCGAUAAUGUGGCAACUCCGGAAGUCAGAUUCUCUUCCCUGCCAAGGAUGUGUUGUUGUUGUUGCCUGUUGGAGCUGUUUCUUUGCUGGGUGACUUUUCUGAACUAAUUCUGACUAAGCAUUAAUGUCUCCAUUCCCUGCGAGCUGUGGCCACUGAAGCCGCUCUUCAGUUACGGCAGUGGUCAGCUAAUGACUGGUCAGAGAGUUCCUUAGGUGCCUGGAAGCGAAGUCUUUGCCGAGUGGGUCUCUCUCUGUGUGCCGGGCGUGGCUUCAGUGCUCGGCUAGGCAGUGCUCAACUUUCCCUUAGCCGUCACCUGCUGUCUGCACAGCACCUCAGGUCAGUCACGGGUGAGGGCUCAGGGCCUUGCCGGCCUUCCUGAAUAUGGGCACAGCUGCAGACAGCCUUACCCACGUGCAGGGCACCUAGAUUCCCAAGAAGGGGCAAGAGCUGUUCAAAACCACUACAAGCUGGACAUGGUGGCUCACACCUGUAGUGUCAGUGACUCAGAAGGCUGUAAUGGGAGGAUGACUUGAGGCCAGGAGUUUGAGACCUAGCAAGACCCCAUCCCCCACCCAAAAAAACAAAAACAACAACAAAAACUCACUGUGGACCGCUCAUGCCCCAGCUGCUGCUUUUUAACCCCAGCUGUUAUCCAUCACCACAGGCAGCUUCGAUUUUCAAUCAUGGAUCUGAUGACUUUCAACAAACUUUCCUGAGGAAAGUGCUGUUCCCACCAGAAGAGAUCUCAGGACAAAUGUAGACAGCCCUGGCAAGUGGGGUCUCCCUGGGAGCUAGCAGACAGGUGAAAGACUGACAGUUCUUGGGGAAUUAGGCUUUUCUUUUGUUUUGGAGAUGGCGUUUCAUACUUAUCACCCAGACUGGAGUGCAAUGGUGUGAUCUCGGCUCACUGCAACCUCUGCCUCCCAGGUUCAAGCAAUUCUCCUGCCUCAGCCUCCUGAGUAGCUGGGAUUACAGGCACCCACCACCACGCCCAGCUAAUUUUUUGUAUUUUUAGUAGAGACGGGGUUUCACCAUGUUGGCCAGGCUGGUCUCGAACAUCUGACCUCAGGUGAUCCACCCAUCUCGGCCUCCCAAAGUGCUGGGAUUACAGGCGUGAGCCACCCUGCCCAGCCCAAUUAUAGAUUUUUUAGGUUUAGGUGUUGACAGUAGCUCUCACCUCAGCCUGUUCUCUCUCCUUGUCAUGCAGCCCACAGGGGAGAUGGUCAGGCCAGUGUGGGGGCUAAUGAAUAAAUGCUACACUGUGCCCACUCAGGUGGGUAAGGGCUGGCACUCCUCUUCCCCUGGAGUGGGGCGGCUGUGCUGGCACCCUUGGCAGACACAGUAAGGGGGACUGCACCUGGAAAGGAUGGGCCAGUCGGGGCAGGACUACUCAUCACUCAUAGUGUGGGUGUCAGGGUUGUGUCACCCCUCCCACCUCCCUCUGCAGAGACGCAAAGUCAAGAGUAGGAAGAAGCCAACCUCUGAGGUAAGGCUUCCCCUGGAAGGCCCAGGGCUGGGGCUCUCUCCUUUCAGAGCUCAGUUAGACCCAGACACACGGCAGGGAGUCCCAAGGGUAGUGGCAGGCCCCCUCCAGGAAACUCACAAGGUUACCACAGCUCAACUGAAAAGGAAGAACUUCCCAGGACUGUGACACCCCAGUGUGAGAACAGGAGGAUGAGGUGCUCUGAAGGCCUUUCUGCCCAGUCUGCCCUCUUAUUCCUCCUGCAGGUCACGACCCCCAGGAGACCUGGAGGACUGAAUGCUGCUGCCCCCAAGGAGGAGGCUGCCGUCUUAUCCCAGGAGGGAGAGCAGGUGAAGUCCCCAGGGGAGGAAGCACCUAGCCCCAUUCCUGCUGAGCAGGAGGUGGCAGGUACCCCAGACUGGGAGGUAAGGACAGCCCGGGGCUUCGACUGAACGUCUCCAGCGUGGGUCCAACUGAGCAGCCAUGGAGCACUGCAGAGUGGGAGGCAGCAGGGCAGGGAGGCAGUGCUGGAGGCUGGCUCAACCCCAAGACCAGCAGGCCAAGCUGCCAUCCCAGGGGAGCGAGGACGUCUGUGCAGAGCUGAGAGGCAGCAGCCAUGUGUGAACAGACUGGGCCUCAUCCUGGCCCCACCGACUUUGUGUGGACAGAGCCUGUUUCCCUGUCUGUGCAACACAGAACCUGCCUGAUCUCACUGCUGGAUCCCUCUUCUUCCUGCCAGGAAAAUAAAAAGGUUCAAAAGGAAGUUGCUGCGUAUCCAUCUGAGGCCUCUGAGGACAGCAAAGAGCAAAGGCCCUGGGACCGGGUCUACGUGCCCAUGACAGAGCUCUGGCUGGACUGGUUCUGAGCCUCUAACACCCCCAAGACUCAGAACCGUGAAGAAAAUCUUUCCAAUAAAUCCAAGAGUUGCUGCUGCUAUAGGCCAGGCUGCCACCUUUCGGGGCCUCCGUCUUCAGACAAACCCAGCCUGGCUUCAUCCACACUCCCUGUCCCCACAGCUGCAGGAACAGCACUUCCUGCCACCGAGCCGUGUGACCACAGUGGAUUGUCUCUGGAGGGGCCCAAGGGGGCCCUGGCCACCCUUCUGACUGACUCGGUGCCAGGGGACAGACCAACGUCCCUCUCGUGCUGACAGCCGGGCCGCACCCUGGCAUGAGGGCAUUUACAGAAAUGCUGGCGGAACUGCUGCCAGGGAGGCUGUAGGGUCCUCUGGCAAAAGAGGCCUCAGGUGGCUCCUCAGAGUGUCUGUGGUUCUCUGUCCCAGGCUGUUCCCUAAGAAGGUCUGCCCAGGACUCAGGUAAUCAUAUGCUCAUUAGAAACUCUUGGGCACUGCCUGUGUGCCCAGCCCAGCCCAUUAUGUCGGUGAGGACAGAUGUGGAGGACAGCAGUCCCUGCCCUUGGUUGGGGCUCCAGGCCAGCAAGGGCCACAGCCCCAGAAGGCAGAGCAGGAAGACAGGACUCGGGGCAGGUGAAGCAGCCUUCUCGUUGGCAGAAGGGAAACAGAAGCCCGGGGUGGGGAAGGGUGGGGAAGGGUGGGCCCGGGGUCACACGGGGUAAUGGCAGAGCAAGGACUAGGGUCAGGGUCUCUGGCUCUCAGCUGCCCAUGCCACCUCCUCCUUCUCUGCCCGCCCCAGUGCCUUAUGGGUCCAAGGUUGACUCCUGUCCCUAGGGCAGGCCUGUGGGCCCUGCCUGAUCCCUACUGGGAGGAUGGUACCUAGGGUUGGAGCCAAACAAGUGUCCUCCUCCAGCGCCA